GUCGAAGGCAUCGCGAGUGACAUCACGAACCUCAAGUUCCUCCUCCUAUGCUUUCAGCACCUGUCGGGUCUCAAGAUUAACUUUGACAAGAGCUAGGUCAUGGUAUUAGGGUACUCUCCUGAAGAGAGCCAAAGCAUUGCUAACCGGCUUAAUUGCCCUUUGGGUUCUUUCCCCACCACCUACUUGGGGAUCCUCAUUAGUGACUCCCGCCUUACUGUUGCUGAUUUGAGGCCCUCGGUCCUCAAAUUGCAACACCGCACCGAGCCCUGGCAGGGGAGAUGGCUCUCAAAGGUGGCACAGACCAUUAUCAUAAACUCGAACCUGUCCAGACUCCUGUUGUUCAUUAUGAGCCUCUACAACCUAAACGAGACUUUGCACCACGAGAUUGGCACGAUCCAAGCCCGCUUUUUCUGGGCUGGUGAGGGUGACAAGAAAAAACACCACAUGGUUCGGUGGUUUGAGAUUUGCAAGCCUCGUGACCAGGGUGGCCUCGGGAUUAUGUCCUCCAAACGCAUGAACAUCGCCCUCCUUGCUCAAUGGCUUUGGCGAAUCUCGAAAGGUGAGGGUGGUCUUUGGCUGUAG
This 582-nucleotide ribosomal RNA is filed under the name Triticum aestivum (bread wheat). RNAcentral describes it as "partial small subunit ribosomal RNA". Lineage: Eukaryota; Viridiplantae; Streptophyta; Magnoliopsida; Poales; Poaceae. The record is from RNAcentral.